AAGUCUGAUGGAGCACGCCGCGUGAGUGAAGAAGGGUUUCGGCUCGUAAAACUCUGUUGUUAGAGAAGAACAGCCGUGAGAGCAACUGCUCACGGUAUGACGGUAUCUAACCAGAAAGUCACGGCUAACUACGUGCCAGCAGCCGCGGUAAUACGUAGGUGGCAAACGUUGUCCGGAUUUAUUGGGCGUAAAGGGAGCGCAGGCGGUUUAUUAAGUCUGAUGUGAAAGCCUUCGGCUUAACCGGAGAAGUGCAUCGGAAACUGAUAAACUUGAGUGCAGAAAAGGAUAGUGGAACUUCAUGUGUAGCGGUGAAAUGCGUAGAUAUAUGAAGGAACACCAGUGGCGAAGGCGGCUAUCUGGUCUGUAACUGACGCUGAGGCUCGAAAGCAUGGGUAGCAAACAGGAUUAGAUACCCUGGUAGUCCAUGCCGUAAACGAUGAAUGCUAGGUGUUGGAAGGUUUCCGCCUUUCAGUGCCGCAGCUAACGCAUUAAGCAUUCCGCCUGGGGAGUACGACCGCAAGGUUGAAACUCAAAGGAAUUGACGGGGACCCGCACAAGCGGUGGAGCAUGUGGUUUAAUUCGAUGCUACGCGAAGAACCUUACCAGGACUUGACAUCUUCUGCCAAUCUAAGAGAUUAGACGUUCCCUUCGGGGACAGAAUGACAGGUGGUGCAUGGUUGUCGUCAGCUCGUGUCGUGAGAUGUUGGGUUAAGUCCCGCAACGAGCGCAACCCUUGUCUUUAGUUGCCAGCAUUAAGUUGGGCACUCUAGAGAGACUGCCGGUGAUAAACCGGAGGAAGGUGGGGAUGACGUCAAAUCAUCAUGCCCCUUAUGUCCUGGGCUACACACGUGCUACAAUGGGCGAUACAACGAGUUGCGAAACCGCGAGGUCAAGCUAAUCUCUUAAAGUCGUUCUCAGUUCGGAUUGCAGUCUGCACUCGACUGCAUGAAGUUGGAAUCGCUAGUAAUCGUGGAUCAGCAUGCCACGGUGA
Molecule: ribosomal RNA, 991 nt
Filed under: Fructilactobacillus sanfranciscensis
Lineage: Bacteria; Bacillati; Bacillota; Bacilli; Lactobacillales; Lactobacillaceae
Description: bacterial SSU rRNA
Rfam family: Bacterial small subunit ribosomal RNA
Source: RNAcentral